AGUUGCCUGUUGCUAAGCGACCGGUCAGCUUCUCUGGCACUAUAGUAACGGGCAUCUCCAGGAGCAUAUCAGGAGACGAGAACGAGACACCACCAAAUUACCCAUCACCCCCCACUCCUGCAGCCCCGCCCCCCCCAGUUGACCUGGAGAGCAGCCCCAACACUGAUGGGGGAGCAGGUUCACAGAUUAAAAAAGAGAACUUGGAAGCAAGUGAGUUUUAUUCUGAAAGGACUGAAAGCGAAACCAAUGGAUCUUCUGCAGGAUUCUUCACCAACAUAAAGCAGUAACUCAUCCCUCUCUGUCUUCAUCUCUCCAUUAAUGUUUUUUCUGAAAUCGUGAGUUUCAAUACUCAUCAAACUGUGAUUAAAUCAGAUCAUUCUGAACACUUUGAACAGGCUAAAUAAGCUACAUAAUGCACUUCGCUUCGGCCAAAAAUCUUU
Molecule: long non-coding RNA, 440 nt
Organism: Notothenia coriiceps (black rockcod)
Lineage: Eukaryota; Metazoa; Chordata; Actinopteri; Perciformes; Nototheniidae
Exons: 2
Source: RefSeq, a predicted model, not a curated record